UCGUGGCCGGCGGACGGAAUGGUCAGCAUGACGAGUCGGCGGUGGAGCUGUGAGAUAAGGCCGCGGCGGGUCGUGGAGCAAGGCCGUGGUGCGCAGCCGUUGCAGUGACGAGGCCGCGCUCGAGCAAGCGCAUAAGAUGUUGCAUGAUGGAGCCAAACCCCUGACCGGGUAGUGAUUUUCACCUGAGCACGACGGAUGAUUGUGGUACAUGUAACUUUCGCCUUGAUCUUUUUAUUUCUGCUAGUGACCUGUUGAUUCUG
This 260-nucleotide long non-coding RNA is filed under the name Hordeum vulgare. Its description in RNAcentral is "long non-coding RNA (HVUL_LNC018798)". Lineage: Eukaryota; Viridiplantae; Streptophyta; Magnoliopsida; Poales; Poaceae. The record is from RNAcentral.